AGAAAACCAGAGGGACAUGGGGCUGAGCUCCUCCCUGCCCCCUUUCCACACAUGCCUGAGGACAUUUCUCACAUCAAUGCUCCUCUAAAUGGUUUGCCAUCACUGGAAUUGUCUAUUCUUCAGGGUUAUUCAUUGUAGAGGGAAAGUCUGGAAGCUAUUAGGACUCUAUAUCAGAAAGAAAAGGGAAAGGAAAAAGGCUGAGAUCUAAUCUAGCCUCAGACAAAACCUGUAUGACACUGGGCAAUUUACUUCAUCUCUUUUUGCUUCUAUUGUCAGAAUUACUUAAUAUGGUCAACAGCACCCAAUUCAGAAGGCUGAAUGUUACUAUAUAGUGUCUACCAUGUGUCACAUACUGUGCUAAGAUCUUUACAAAUAUUAUCCCAUUUGACCUUUACAAGAACUCUGAGAGUGGUGCAAUGGAUUGAUUCUGGUCCUGGAGUGAAGAAAACCUUAAUUCAAAAUCAGAAUUUGAUACUUAACAUCUGGACUUUGAGUAAGUUACUCAAUAUCUAUCUACCUCAAUUUGCUGAAAUAAUAGAAUUGGAUAAUAAUAGACCCUCCUUUCCAGGUAUGUUAUGAGAAU
Monodelphis domestica (gray short-tailed opossum) is the source of this 583-nucleotide long non-coding RNA. Lineage: Eukaryota; Metazoa; Chordata; Mammalia; Didelphimorphia; Didelphidae. The record is from Ensembl.